Cucumis melo (muskmelon) is the source of this 482-nucleotide long non-coding RNA. RefSeq lists it as uncharacterized. NCBI's taxonomy places the organism in Eukaryota, Viridiplantae, Streptophyta, Magnoliopsida, Cucurbitales, Cucurbitaceae. The transcript has 3 exons. The record is from RefSeq and is a predicted model, not a curated record.
CUUUGAGUUAUCGACAAGAAAUUCAAAAGAAAACUUAAAGUUUCUAAGUUUAAUUUACUUCAAAAGAAAAAUGGCAAACUGUCCCUGUGGCUCAGCCUGCAACUGCACUCCCAACAACUGCUCAUGCAACCAUAAUGUUGCUUCCAUGAAAGAGAACUUCGAAGGUGAUUGUGGCUGCAACAAAUGCUCAUGCGGAGACAAUUGCAAGUGCAAUCCAUGCAACUGCUAAAUUUCAAAGCUUUCGAUAUGGAAAGCAUACUAAUUUACAUAUUAAUGUGCUUCUAAUGAUUUGAAUUAUGUAUCAAAUGGUUGUGUGUGUGUGUGUUGUUUGUCUGUAUGGUGUUUGACAAAAUGCCGCUUACAAAUACUUGAGAAAUAAAAUACCACACAACAACCUAUUAUUAUAUAAUACUUGUAUCUUGUUUUUUCCCUCUUCCAAUGUCAUUUCAAAUAGGCCAGUUAUGACUGGUUAAUUUCUAUUA